AAUACUUUCACCUUGUACCAAUUAACAAAAACAAAUUCAAAUUCAAUUUCAAAACAUAUUACAAAGAUAACAUCUAUCAACUACAUCAUAAAAAUAUCUGUUUGUCUAAUUUUGAACAGCUAUCAAUCUAAUCCAUCAUGAAAAUAAUGCCAUCAACAGGAGUUCAUUCAUCUGACUUUGAACUUCCCUUUCCAAUCUGCUUCAAUUGCUUGUUUUUGAACAGCAACGCUGCAAUUUCAAGUCUGGCAUUCCCAGCAUCAAAUGACAUCGGCAUAUUGCCAAGAUCAUUGUGCAACAAAUACUGUGCAUACUUUAUCACAAAAACCCCACAAUCAUGCCUGUAAUAUUUAAAGAAGACAAACCAUAAGUAAUUACAAAAUGCUGAUGGAAAAUGAUAAAACUUGCAAUGCCCAUAACGAAACUUACCCAUUUUGUUGUUGGGGUAAACCACGGACAAUAUUAACAUGCAGUUCCCCAGAUUUGUCACCAAUACUAUCACUAGUUUCCUUCCAUAGCCCGACAAAUUUUAAAAGGUGUGUAAGAGUCUUCACAAGCGAUAAAAUCCCUUCGCAAACCUUGUUGUCCUUGUAUGAUUUGUUGCUUGAAUUAUAUAUGUAAAGAACAUGGUUAGUAAUAUCAAGCUGCCCUAACAUCCAAUGAGCAUGAUUUGUGGGCAUAAUGGGCAUCAACACAGAUUCAACUUCUCUCCAUGCAGUAUUAAAUGAUAACCGUUCACCAUUGAUGGUUUUGAUUAGCUCAUCCUUCUUCUCAACAAUGCUUGGGUCUUGAAUAAACUUGGAGUAUGUCGACUUGAUUGACAUAUCAAAUAUGCAGUCUGUAGUGGUAGCUUUCAUCUUCACACCUUCACCAAACUUGGCAAGUUGUCUUAUGUAAUGAAAGCAUGCAUCCAAGUGCUGUAAUAAGAAAGAAUAU
RNAcentral lists this long non-coding RNA (933 nucleotides) under Olea europaea subsp. europaea. The record is from RNAcentral. Lineage: Eukaryota; Viridiplantae; Streptophyta; Magnoliopsida; Lamiales; Oleaceae.